Molecule: ribosomal RNA, 549 nt
Filed under: Retama raetam
Lineage: Eukaryota; Viridiplantae; Streptophyta; Magnoliopsida; Fabales; Fabaceae
Description: SSU rRNA
Rfam family: Eukaryotic small subunit ribosomal RNA
Source: RNAcentral
UUGGAGGGCAAGUCUGGUGCCAGCAGCCGCGGUAAUUCCAGCUCCAAUAGCGUAUAUUAAAGUUGUUGCAGUUAAAAAGCUCGUAGUUGAAUUUCGGGACUAUCAUGUCGGUCGUGCCUCGGUACGUACUGGCAUUGUUGGUUUCUACCUUCUGACGAACCAUGAUGUCAUUUAUUUGGUGUCGUGGGGAAUCAGGACUGUUACUUUGAAAAAAUUAGAGUGUUCAUUCCAGGCCUAUGCUCGAAUACAUUAGCAUGGAAUAAUAGAAUAGGACGUGUGGUUCUAUUUUGUUGGUUUCUAGGACCGCCGUAAUGAUUAAUAGGGAUAGUCGGGGGCAUCAGUAUUCAAUUGUCAGAGGUGAAAUUCUUGGAUUUAUUGAAGACUAACUACUGCGAAAGCAUUUGCCAAGGAUGUUUUCAUUAAUCAGUGAACGAAAGUUAGGGGAUCGAAGACGAUCAGAUACCGUCGUAGUCUUAACCAUAAACUAUGCCGACUAGGGAUCGGAUGAUGUUAAUUUUUUAACGACUCAUUCGGCGCCUUACGGGAAAC